UUAAUGAAUAAUCUUGAUGUAGCUGUUGCUGGCCUUUUUGGCAUGUGCUCGCUCGUCAUCUUUAUAUCUCCACCUGUGCACCCUUUGUAGACUUGGAAUCAUUUUNNANGNUUUCUUCAAACCUUGGUCGUUGGGAUUGCUGGCAUUUCMUUUUUGUCGGCUCUCCUUGUUGUUCCAAGCCUAUGUUUUUAAUAUACCCCAAAGCAUGUAACAGAAUGUAUCAUUGGGCUUUGUUGCCUAUAAACUAUAUACAACUUUCAGCAACGGAUCUCUUGGCUCUCGCAUCGAUGAAGAACGCAGCGAAAUGCGAUAAGUAAUGUGAAUUGCAGAAUUCAGUGAAUCAUCGAAUCUUUGAACGCACCUUGCGCUCCUUGGUAUUCCGAGGAGCAUGCCUGUUUGAGUAUCAUUAAAUUCUCAACCUUUACCRGCUUUGCUGUUGGUAGAGGUUUGGAUGUGGGGGUUUACUUUUGCUGGUUUUCAUUAAUCAGCUCCCCUUAAAUGCAUUAGCUGGUGCCCCGCGUGGACUUGUCUAUUGGUGUGAUAAUUAUCUACGCCAUUGGAUGUCUGCUUUGAAUGGGUUUUUGCACUGCUUCAAACCGUCUGUUAACUCGGACAAUUAAUGAACUCUUGAUCUCAAAUCAGGUAGGACUACCCGCUGAACUUAAGCAUAUCAAUAAGCGGAGGAAAAGAAACUAACAAGGAUUCCCCUAGUAACUGCGAGUGAAGCGGGAAAAGCUCAAAUUUAAAAUCUGGCGGUCUUUGGCUG
RNAcentral lists this ribosomal RNA (766 nucleotides) under Phaeocollybia phaeogaleroides. RNAcentral's name for it is "eukaryotic LSU rRNA". Lineage: Eukaryota; Fungi; Basidiomycota; Agaricomycetes; Agaricales; Phaeocollybiaceae. The record is from RNAcentral.